UACAGGGGGUGCAAACGUUGCUCGGAAUUAUUGGGCGUAAAGCGCGCGUAGGCGGCUACUUAAGUCGGAUGUGAAAGCCCUUGGCUCAACUGAGGAAGUGCACCCGAAACUGAGUGGCUAGAGUACGAAAGAGGGUCGCGGAAUUCCCGGUGUAGAGGUGAAAUUCGCAGAUAUCGGGAGGAACACCGGUGGCGAAGGCGGCGACCUGGGUCGAUACUGACGCUGAUGCGCGAAAGCGUGGGGAGCAAACGGG
RNAcentral lists this ribosomal RNA (253 nucleotides) under uncultured bacterium. RNAcentral describes it as "partial 16S ribosomal RNA". It matches the Rfam family "Bacterial small subunit ribosomal RNA", at positions 524 to 776 of the family's 1533-position model. The record is from RNAcentral.